RNAcentral lists this ribosomal RNA (439 nucleotides) under uncultured bacterium. Its description in RNAcentral is "partial 16S ribosomal RNA". It matches the Rfam family "Bacterial small subunit ribosomal RNA", at positions 339 to 795 of the family's 1533-position model. The record is from RNAcentral.
CUACGGGUUGCUGCAGUGGGGAAUAUUGGACAAUGGGCGCAAGCCUGAUCCAGCAAUGCCGCGUGAGUGAAGACGGCCUUAGGGUCGUAAAACUCUUUCGCUAGGGAAGAUAAUGACUGUACCUAGUAAAGAAGUCCCGGCUAACUCCGUGCCAGCAGCCGCGGUAAUACGGAGGGGACUAGCGUUGUUCGGAAUUACUGGGCGUAAAGAGUUCGUAGGCGGACUGACAAGUUAGAGGUGAAAUCCCAGGGCCCAACCCUGGAACUGCCUUUAAAACUGUCAGUCUAGAGACCGGAAGAGGUUAGGGGAAUACCUAGUGUAGAGGUGAAAUUCGUAGAUAUUAGGUGGAACACCAGUGGCGAAGGCGCCUAACUGGUCCGGUACUGACGCUGAGGAACGAAAGCGUGGGGAGCAAACAGGAUUAGAUACCCCAGUAGUC